GACGAACGCUGGCGGCGUGCCUAAUACAUGCAAGUUGAGCGCUGAAGGUUGGUACUUGUACCAACUGGAUGAGCAGCGAACGGGUGAGUAACGCGUGGGGAAUCUGCCUUUGAGCGGGGGACAACAUUUGGAAACGAAUGCUAAUACCGCAUAAAAACUUUAAACACAAGUUUUAAGUUUGAAAGAUGCAAUUGCAUCACUCAAAGAUGAUCCCGCGUUGUAUUAGCUAGUUGGUGAGGUAAACUCUCACCAAGGCGAUGAUACAUAGCCGACCUGAGAGGGUGAUCGGCCACAUUGGGACUGAGACACGGCCCAAACUCCUACGGGAGGCAGCAGUAGGGAAUCUUCGGGCAAUGGACGAAAAGUCUGACCGAGCAAACGCCG
This 384-nucleotide ribosomal RNA is filed under the name Lactococcus lactis. RNAcentral's name for it is "bacterial SSU rRNA". It matches the Rfam family "Bacterial small subunit ribosomal RNA", at positions 28 to 399 of the family's 1533-position model. The record is from RNAcentral. Lineage: Bacteria; Bacillati; Bacillota; Bacilli; Lactobacillales; Streptococcaceae.